AGUGAACGCUGGCGGUAGGCCUAACACAUGCAAGUCGAACGGCAGCACAGUAAGAGCUUGCUCUUACGGGUGGCGAGUGUCGGACGGGUGAGGAAUACAUCGGACUAUACUUUUUCGCGGGGGCUAACGUAGGGAAACUCACGCUAAUAACGCAUACGACCUACGGGUUAAAGCAGGGGAUCUUCAGACCUUGCGCGAUUGAAUGAGUCGCUGACGGAUUGGACAGUAGGCGGGGUAAAGGCCCACCAAGGCGACGAUCCGUAGCUGGUCUGAGAGGAUGAUCAGCCACACUGGAACUGAGACACGGUCCAGACUCCUACGGGAGGCAGCAGUGGGGAAUAUUGGACAAUGGGCGCAAGCCUGAUCCAGCCAUACCGCGUGGGUGAAGAAGGCCUUCGGGUUGUAAAACCCUUUUGUUGGGAAAGAAAAGCAGCAGGUUAAUACCCCGCUGUUCUGACGGUACCCAAAGAAUAAGCACCGGCUAACUUCGUG
RNAcentral lists this ribosomal RNA (492 nucleotides) under uncultured bacterium. RNAcentral's name for it is "partial 16S ribosomal RNA". It matches the Rfam family "Bacterial small subunit ribosomal RNA", at positions 29 to 507 of the family's 1533-position model. The record is from RNAcentral.